RNAcentral lists this ribosomal RNA (1346 nucleotides) under uncultured bacterium. RNAcentral's name for it is "bacterial SSU rRNA". It matches the Rfam family "Bacterial small subunit ribosomal RNA", at positions 28 to 1381 of the family's 1533-position model. The record is from RNAcentral.
GACGAACGCUGGCGGCGUGCUUAACACAUGCAAGUCGAACGGAAAGGCCCUGCUUUUGUGGGGUGCUCGAGUGGCGAACGGGUGAGUAACACGUGAGUAACCUGCCCUUGACUUUGGGAUAACUUCAGGAAACUGGGGCUAAUACCGGAUAGGAGCUCCUGCUGCAUGGUGGGGGUUGGAAAGUUUCGGCGGUUGGGGAUGGACUCGCGGCUUAUCAGCUUGUUGGUGGGGUAGUGGCUUACCAAGGCUUUGACGGGUAGCCGGCCUGAGAGGGUGACCGGCCACAUUGGGACUGAGAUACGGCCCAGACUCCUACGGGAGGCAGCAGUGGGGAAUAUUGCACAAUGGGCGGAAGCCUAAUGCAGCAACGCCGCGUGCGGGAUGACGGCCUUCGGGUUGUAAACCGCUUUCGCCUGUGACGAAGCGUGAGUGACGGUAAUGGGUAAAGAAGCACCGGCUAACUACGUGCCAGCAGCCGCGGUGAUACGUAGGGUGCGAGCGUUGUCCGGAUUUAUUGGGCGUAAAGGGCUCGUAGGUGGUUGAUCGCGUCGGAAGUGUAAUCUUGGGGCUUAACCCUGAGCGUGCUUUCGAUACGGGUUGACUUGAGGAAGGUAGGGGAGAAUGGAAUUCCUGGUGGAGCGGUGGAAUGCGCAGAUAUCAGGAGGAACACCAGUGGCGAAGGCGGUUCUCUGGGCCUUUCCUGACGCUGAGGAGCGAAAGCGUGGGGAGCGAACAGGCUUAGAUACCCUGGUAGUCCACGCUGUAAACGGUGGGUACUAGGUGUGGGGUCCAUUCCACGGGUUCCGUGCCGUAGCUAACGCUUUAAGUACCCCGCCUGGGGAGUACGGCCGCAAGGCUAAAACUCAAAGGAAUUGACGGGGCCCCGCACAAGCGGCGGAGCAUGCGGAUUAAUUCGAUGCAACGCGUAGAACCUUACCUGGGUUUGACAUGGAUCGGGAGCGCUCAGAGAUGGGUGUGCCUCUUUUGGGGUCGGUUCACAGGUGGUGCAUGGCUGUCGUCAGCUCGUGUCGUGAGAUGUUGGGUUAAGUCCCGCAACGAGCGCAACCCUUGUUCACUGUUGCCAGCACGUUAUGGUGGGGACUCAGUGGAGACCGCCGGGGUCAACUCGGAGGAAGGUGGGGAUGACGUCAAGUCAUCAUGCCCCUUAUGUCCAGGGCUUCACGCAUGCUACAAUGGCUGGUACAGAGAGUGGCGAGCCUGUGAGGGUGAGCGAAUCUCGGAAAGCCGGUCUCAGUUCGGAUUGGGGUCUGCAACUCGACCUCAUGAAGUCGGAGUCGCUAGUAAUCGCAGAUCAGCAACGCUGCGGUGAAUACGUUCCCGGGGCU